Molecule: ribosomal RNA, 482 nt
Filed under: Enterococcus casseliflavus
Lineage: Bacteria; Bacillati; Bacillota; Bacilli; Lactobacillales; Enterococcaceae
Description: bacterial SSU rRNA
Rfam family: Bacterial small subunit ribosomal RNA
Source: RNAcentral
GACGAACGCUGGCGGCGUGCCUAAUACAUGCAAGUCGAACGCUUUUUCUUUCACCGGAGCUUACUCCACCGAAAGAAAAAGAGUGGCGAACGGGUGAGUAACACGUGGGUAACCUGCCCAUCAGAAGGGGAUAACACUUGGAAACAGGUGCUAAUACCGUAUAACACUAUUUUCCGCAUGGAAGAAAGUUGAAAGGCGCUUUUGCGUCACUGAUGGAUGGACCCGCGGUGCAUUAGCUAGUUGGUGAGGUAACGGCUCACCAAGGCAACGAUGCAUAGCCGACCUGAGAGGGUGAUCGGCCACACUGGGACUGAGACACGGCCCAGACUCCUACGGGAGGCAGCAGUAGGGAAUCUUCGGCAAUGGACGAAAGUCUGACCGAGCAACGCCGCGUGAGUGAAGAAGGUUUUCGGAUCGUAAAACUCUGUUGUUAGAGAAGAACAAGGAUGAGAGUAGAACGUUCAUCCCUGACGGAUCUACCA